RNAcentral lists this ribosomal RNA (379 nucleotides) under uncultured bacterium. RNAcentral's name for it is "bacterial SSU rRNA". It matches the Rfam family "Bacterial small subunit ribosomal RNA", at positions 521 to 896 of the family's 1533-position model. The record is from RNAcentral.
UAAUACGUAGGGUCCAAGCGUUGUCCGGAUUUAUUGGGCGUAAAGAGCUCGUAGGCGGUUUCGUAAGUCGGAUGUGAAAACUCAGGGCUCAACCCGGAGACGCCAUCUGAUACUGCGAUGACUUGAGUCUGGUAGGGGAACACGGAAUUCCUGGUGUAGCGGUGAAAUGCGCAGAUAUCAGGAGGAACACCGAUGGCGAAGGCAGUGUUCUGGGCCAGUACUGACGCUGAGGAGCGAAAGCGUGGGGAGCAAACAGGAUUAGAUACCCUGGUAGUCCACGCCGUAAACGUUGGGCACUAGGUGUGGGUCCUCAUCAACGGGAUCCGUGCCGUAGCUAACGCAUUAAGUGCCCCGCCUGGGGAGUACGGCCGCAAGGCUA